Populus trichocarpa (black cottonwood) is the source of this 119-nucleotide non-coding RNA. Lineage: Eukaryota; Viridiplantae; Streptophyta; Magnoliopsida; Malpighiales; Salicaceae. The record is from Rfam.
AGCCGUGCGGUGGGCACAGAGCGAACUAUUCUUUCGCCUUUUACUAAAGAAUACCGUGUGCUCGCCGCAGAUAGCGGCAUACGCUUAUUUUUGAAGGGUUCUCUUCUCUUUAGAAGAGC